UACAGAGGUCCCGAGCGUUGUUCGGAUUCACUGGGCGUAAAGGGUGCGUAGGUGGUGAGGUAAGUCGGAUGUGAAAGCUCGGAGCUCAACUCCGAAAUGGCAUUGGAAACUACCUUGCUCGAGGGUUGGAGGGGGACUGGAAUACUUGGUGUAGCAGUGAAAUGCGUAGAUAUCAAGUGGAACACCAGUGGCGAAGGCGAGUCCCUGGACAACUCCUGACACUGAGGCACGAAAGCUAGGGGAGCAAACAGG
RNAcentral lists this ribosomal RNA (252 nucleotides) under uncultured bacterium. RNAcentral describes it as "partial 16S ribosomal RNA". It matches the Rfam family "Bacterial small subunit ribosomal RNA", at positions 524 to 776 of the family's 1533-position model. The record is from RNAcentral.